This 631-nucleotide long non-coding RNA is filed under the name Lepidothrix coronata (blue-crowned manakin). Its description in RNAcentral is "lncRNA (ENSLCOG00000014845.1)". Lineage: Eukaryota; Metazoa; Chordata; Aves; Passeriformes; Pipridae. The record is from RNAcentral.
UUUCUCUGAGAGCUGUGGUUUCAAAAAUUCAGCAGUUUCACUCCUGUGAUUUUGCAGUUUGUCUUCUGGAAGGGAUGUGUGGAAUAGAAACAAUGAAGAAGUAAGACCAAAGAAGACAGAAGCCCAGAGGCAAAAAAGACUCCAAACCUGCGUGCAGAGGAGCUUGACAGAGAAGAGGCUGUGCAUGGACAGUGGUACUGAUGACAAAUCCCCUUUGGUCCCUUUGGCUGUUCAGCCAUUAAUCUUUGGGAAAAGUGAGUGGCAGGAGCCUUUGCUGGAAGUGGCUGUGGGGCACAGCAAGCCUUGGCCAGGAGGAGCAGAAGAUAUUUUGCCGACUGAGUCAUGGUAUUAAAUGUGCUUUUUACAGUGAAAUUCAUUGUAAGAGUGAAGCAGGUCACUGGUAUUUAAUCUGAACCAGAGUUGUGCAACUUCAAGUGACUCUGCAGGAGAUGGGUUCCCGUGAUAGGUUCCUCAUCCAGGGCUGUGAAGCUCUUCCAGGCAAAACAUGUCCUUGUGGUUACGCCUUUUCUUUCAUUUCUUCUUGCUUACGUAGAAAACCUGUAUGUGUGACAAUUUGAAAGGCUUUUAAAAUUUCUUAAAUAAAAUUAUUCAUUGACAAGUAAGUGCCUCA